UACGUAGGUGGCGAGCGUUGUCCGGAAUUACUGGGUGUAAAGGGAGCGUAGGCGGGAGUGCAAGUUGAAUGUUAAAUCUAUCGGCUCAACCGAUAGCCGCGUUCAAAACUGCAUUUCUUGAGUGAAGUAGAGGUUGGCGGAAUUCCUAGUGUAGCGGCGAAAUGCGUAGAUAUUAGGAGGAACACCAGUGGCGAAGGCGGCCAACUGGGCUUUACUGACGCUGAGGCUCGAAAGCGUGGGGAGCAAACAGGAUUAGAUACCCGUGUAGUCCCUGA
Molecule: ribosomal RNA, 275 nt
Filed under: uncultured prokaryote
Description: partial 16S ribosomal RNA
Rfam family: Bacterial small subunit ribosomal RNA
Source: RNAcentral